UAUUUUCAUAGUUUAAAAUAAGAAUAGAGGUUUGUGGCGCCUCUGGUGUGAAAUCACUGAAGAUAA
Molecule: transfer RNA, 66 nt
Filed under: Lepidurus apus lubbocki
Lineage: Eukaryota; Metazoa; Arthropoda; Branchiopoda; Notostraca; Triopsidae
Description: tRNA-His
Source: RNAcentral